GACGAACGCUGGCGGCGUGCUUAACACAUGCAAGUCGAACGGAAAGGCCCUGCUUUUGUGGGGUGCUCGAGUAGCGAACGGGUGAGUAACACGUGAGUAACCUGCCCUUGACUUUGGGAUAACUUCAGGAAACUGGGGCUAAUACCGGAUAGGAGCUCCUGCUGCAUGGUGGGGGUUGGAAAGUUUCGGCGGUUGGGGAUGGACUCGCGGCUUAUCAGCUUGUUGGUGGGGUAGUGGCUUACCAAGGCUUUGACGGGUAGCCGGCCUGAGAGGGUGACCGGCCACAUUGGGACUGAGAUACGGCCCAGACUCCUACGGGAGGCAGCAGUGGGGAAUAUUGCACAAUGGGCGGAAGCCUGAUGCAGCAACGCCGCGUGCGGGAUGACGGCCUUCGGGUUGUAAACCGCUUUCGCCUGUGACGAAGCGUGAGGGACGGUAAUGGGUAAAGAAGCACCGGCUAACUACGU
Molecule: ribosomal RNA, 467 nt
Filed under: uncultured bacterium
Lineage: Bacteria
Description: partial 16S ribosomal RNA
Rfam family: Bacterial small subunit ribosomal RNA
Source: RNAcentral